Molecule: long non-coding RNA, 877 nt
Organism: Octopus sinensis (East Asian common octopus)
Lineage: Eukaryota; Metazoa; Mollusca; Cephalopoda; Octopoda; Octopodidae
Exons: 2
Source: RefSeq, a predicted model, not a curated record
GGGAAACAUGCAGGCAUCAGUGUUCGAAAACCAUUGUUGGUUUGUUUAUAUUCCAGUAACUUAGUUGUGCAAUGGAAGAGGGCGGGGGUAAAGAAUACGCCCACCACCCGUUUACGGUGUAAGCCUAGCCCAUGCGUCGCAGGAGGCGGAAGAGGUCAAGCAGGUCGCACGUGUGGUCAUCGACGAAGGGACAGUUCGAGCAGAGAUGAGAAAUCGCACGUUGACGUCGGUUGUGUUUUUUUUACGCUCGUGAAAUUUGGUAAAAAAGAACAAAAAAAUAUGAGAUGUUAGUGGUAUAAAGGAGUUUUUACAUCAGAUACAUCAUGAACAUUGAUCAUCAUUUGAAGACUAAUGGAAGAUAUUAUAAAUAAUAUAUAUAACCCUGUUUCUAUUACAAAUCUAUGGUGAAUAACUGUGAAAUAUUUCUUUGGAAUUAAUACGAACGUUUGUUUUCUUCAUUGCCAAUAUUUUACAUUCUGUUUGAAUUUGGAAAAAUCUGUGAAGGUCUUUGUAUUAUCUUCAGAUAUUCGAGAAGAUCAGAUUUGCUGUAAAUAUAGCAGUAGAAGUAUUUGAAUCAACAAAGACAUUUAUAAAGAAGAAAAGAAAAAUAUAUUUUGGGGUCGUAUACUGUAGAAGAAUAAUGAAUCCACCGGAGAUGACAAGAAAAAAAUUAUCAGACCAAUGUGAUAUCUGUAAAAAGACUUUUUCUAAUAUAGCAAAUCUCACUGUUCACAAGUGUAUCGAUCCAAGUGGAAAGCAAUUUCACUGUGAUAUCUGUGGUAAAUCAUUCUCUAAGAAAGAUAAUCUUACUCAUCACAAAUACAUUCAUACAGGAGAGAAACCAUAUCAAUGUGGUAUUUGUGGUAAAUCAUUCUCU